GUAAAAGUCUAGCCUGGAUAGCACGUCUCAUUCCUAAAGAGAAGGUCCUGGGUUCAAAUCCCAGCUCG
This is a non-coding RNA of Dunaliella salina, 68 nucleotides long. Lineage: Eukaryota; Viridiplantae; Chlorophyta; Chlorophyceae; Chlamydomonadales; Dunaliellaceae. The record is from the annotation of a GenBank genome assembly.